GACGUAGGGCGCGAGCGUUGUCCGGAUUUAUUGGGCGUAAAGAGCUCGUAGGCGGCUUGUCGCGUCGACUGUGAAAACCCGCGGCUCAACUGCGGGCCUGCAGCCGAUACGGGCAGGCUAGAGUUCGGUAGGGGAGACUGGAAUUCCUGGUGUAGCGGUGAAAUGCGCAGAUAUCAGGAGGAACACCGAUGGCGAAGGCAGCUCGCUGGGACGGUACUGACGCUGAGACGCGAAGGCGUGGGGAGCGAACAGG
This 253-nucleotide ribosomal RNA is filed under the name uncultured bacterium. RNAcentral's name for it is "partial 16S ribosomal RNA". It matches the Rfam family "Bacterial small subunit ribosomal RNA", at positions 524 to 776 of the family's 1533-position model. The record is from RNAcentral.